UUAUGCAGCAGGUUAUGCACAUUUUGACCACCUUACAUUUUUCAACUUUCAAACUUUAUUUUUGAUGUUUUUGGCUGUAGAAAUCACUCUUCAUUGCCAAAAUUUCUUUUUAGUCUCUCAAAAAUAUCAUUUUUCCUACAAAACAAAAUAAAAUUAUAAAUUAAUCUAAAAAUUGAUAAUUAUAAAAAACUAUCUAAAUAACUAAUAAAAUUGACUAAAAGUGACUAACAAGCGAAUGAAAUGACCAUAAAAUUUAACCUAAAUAACUUUGUAAAAUGCAUGUAUCACCUCUUGCCCAUAAUACAAUCCUGACUGAGCCUACACACAGCCAUUUGUUCAUUCUUCGCAACACAAACAGUAAUUAAAAAGUUACCCCUUCCUCAAUAAUUCACUUCAAGGGCGUUCCUUUAUAUACUACCAGACCAAAUAACAACUCCAUAAUUUUUAAACAGUAUCAAAGUAAUCAAAUCAGAGUCAUCACAGGAAUUAAAAAAACUGACAUAAAAAAAAUCUUAAUCCAAUCAGAUUCUUAGUCCAUCAAACUAUAUGAGCAACCAUCUAUGCCAUACAUAUCAAACUCAAUGAACUCAACUAAAAAAGUCUCAAUUACACACUACAUGGAGUUAGCUAUAUGAAUCCACUUUAUCCAUAUGCUUUGGAAUUUAUCAACCGAUUAUAUCAUUUCAUCUAGCACAUGGAUUGACAUAAUAAAAUUCACUAAUCUCAAUUUAUUAACAUUGACUUUUCUGGGAAAAUAUUUCCAGGAAUUAUUUCAUUGGAAAUAGAAACACACACACUCUCUCUCUC
Molecule: unclassified non-coding RNA, 807 nt
Filed under: Hevea brasiliensis (rubber tree)
Lineage: Eukaryota; Viridiplantae; Streptophyta; Magnoliopsida; Malpighiales; Euphorbiaceae
Source: RNAcentral